RNAcentral lists this ribosomal RNA (468 nucleotides) under uncultured bacterium. Its description in RNAcentral is "partial 16S ribosomal RNA". It matches the Rfam family "Bacterial small subunit ribosomal RNA", at positions 28 to 507 of the family's 1533-position model. The record is from RNAcentral.
GACGAACGCUGGCGGCGUGCUUAACACAUGCAAGUCGAACGGAAAGGCCCUGCUUUUGUGGGGUGCUCGAGUGGCGAACGGGUGAGUAACACGUGAGUAACCUGCCCUUGACUUUGGGAUAACUUCAGGAAACUGGGGCUAAUACCGGAUAGGAGCUCCUGCUGCAUGGUGGGGGUUGGAAAGUUUCGGCGGUUGGGGAUGGACUCGCGGCUUAUCGGCUUGUUGGUGGGGUAGUGGCUUACCAAGGCUGUGACGGGUAGCCGGCCUGGGAGGGUGACCGGCGACCAUGGGACUGAGGUACGGACCAGACUGCUACGGGAGGCAGCAGGGGGGAAUAUUGCAGAAUGGGGGGGAGCCAGAGGCGACGACGCCGCGUGCGGGAUGACGGCCUACGGGUUGUGAACAGCUGUCGCCUGUGACGAAGCGUGAGUGACGGUAAUGGGUAAGGAAGCACCGGCUAACUACGUG